Molecule: ribosomal RNA, 489 nt
Filed under: Triticum aestivum (bread wheat)
Lineage: Eukaryota; Viridiplantae; Streptophyta; Magnoliopsida; Poales; Poaceae
Description: partial small subunit ribosomal RNA
Source: RNAcentral
AUGUCCGACCCAUACCGAAAUGGCGAAGCAGCUGCUACUCCUGAUCGGAUGAGCCUGACCACAGCUGCAACCAAAGACAUCUUCUUCGACGUGGAGGGUUACACCGCCGCCAUACUCAUGUCCACCGGCGACAAUUGCUACUACCCGUCGGAAAGGUUCACCGUCGGCGGGUACGACUGGGCCGUCCGCUUCUACCCCAACCAACUGGGCUCCCACAUAUCCAUCCUCCUCGUGCUCCUCAGCGAGCCCAAGGAUGGCACCGUGGUCGGCGUAAGGUUCGGAUGCGCGGUGCUCGACAGGUCCGGCAGUCCUUCGGCGGAGCUUUGGCAGAGCUCCUCGACCGUCCUCUCUUUCUACGGCGAAGAGUGGGGGUUUUGGAGAUUCGCGCCGCGCGAUGUUCUGGAGGACCCGGAUUACCUUGAAGGGGACUGCCUCACCCUGAGCUGCACUGUCUCUGUUCUAAGGAAACCGCAACUGUCGUCCGACUGA